RNAcentral lists this unclassified non-coding RNA (316 nucleotides) under uncultured Thelephoraceae. RNAcentral's name for it is "sequence contains 5.8S rRNA gene". Lineage: Eukaryota; Fungi; Basidiomycota; Agaricomycetes; Thelephorales; Thelephoraceae. The record is from RNAcentral.
GAACGCACCUUGCGCCCUUUGGCUAUUCCGAAGGGCAUGCCUGUUUGAGUAUCAUGAACACCUCAACUCUCAUGGUUUGCCAUGAUGAGCUUGGACUUUGGGGGUCUUGCUGGCCUAUGGUCGGCUCCUCUCAAAUGAAUCAGCUUACCAGUGUUUGGUGGCGUCACAGGUGUGAUAACUAUCUACGCUUGUGGUUUUCCACCAGAUAACCUUCAGCGAUGGAGGUUCACUGGAGCUCAUAAAUGUCUCUCCUCAGCGAAGACAGCUCUUUGAACGUUUGAUCUCAAAUCAGGUAGGACUACCCGCUGAACUUAAG